RNAcentral lists this ribosomal RNA (385 nucleotides) under uncultured bacterium. RNAcentral describes it as "bacterial SSU rRNA". It matches the Rfam family "Bacterial small subunit ribosomal RNA", at positions 30 to 418 of the family's 1533-position model. The record is from RNAcentral.
AUUGAACGCUGGCGGUAUGCUUAACACAUGCAAGUCGAACGGUAACAGGCCUUCGGGCGCUGACGAGUGGCGGACGGGUGAGUAACGCGUAGGAAUCUGCCUUAUAGUGGGGGACAACGUGGGGAAACUCACGCUAAUACCGCAUACGCCCUACGGGGGAAAGCGGGGGAUCGUAAGACCUCGCGCUAUGAGAUGAGCCUGCGUUAGAUUAGCUAGUUGGUAGGGUAAAGGCCUACCAAGGCGACGAUCUAUAGCUGGUCUGAGAGGACGAUCAGCCACACUGGGACUGAGACACGGCCCAGACUCCUACGGGAGGCAGCAGUGGGGAAUAUGGACAAUGGGCGAAAGCCUGAUGCAGCAACGCCGCGUGUGCGAUGAAGGCCUU